This is a small nuclear RNA of Onychomys torridus (southern grasshopper mouse), 109 nucleotides long. The record is from RefSeq and is a predicted model, not a curated record. NCBI's taxonomy places the organism in Eukaryota, Metazoa, Chordata, Mammalia, Rodentia, Cricetidae.
GUGCUCACUUCAGUAACACAUAUGCAAAAACUGGAACAGAGGAGAGAAGAUUAACAUGGUCCCUGCACAAGGAUGAAGCAGUCCAUAUGCUAUGGGAUGUUCUGUAUGU